UACGUAGGUGGCAAGCGUUGUCCGGAUUUACUGGGCGUAAAGGGCGCGUAGGCGGUCAGCACAAGUCAGUUGUGAAAUCUCCGGGCUUAACCCGGAAAGGUCAACUGAUACUGUGCGACUAGAGUGCGGAAGGGGCAACUGGAAUUCUCGGUGUAGCGGUGAAAUGCGUAGAUAUCGAGAGGAACACCUGCGGCGAAGGCGGGUUGCUGGGCCGACACUGACGCUGAUGCGCGAAAGCCAGGGGAGCGAACGGG
Molecule: ribosomal RNA, 254 nt
Filed under: uncultured bacterium
Lineage: Bacteria
Description: partial 16S ribosomal RNA
Rfam family: Bacterial small subunit ribosomal RNA
Source: RNAcentral